GAUCACCAACUUCUUUUGCUUCCCUUUUAAUUUCUUUCCUAUCUUUUGCUUUUCCCAUUCAUCUCUCUCGCUUUCCACAAAGGCGAGAUUUGAAUACGUAAUCCUAAUUAUACUCUCAUAGAGAUUUGGUAAUUUGGCCCAAAAUAUCUUUCUACUUUGUAAUAUGUCGAUGCAUAGAAAACAUAAUCUUAUUCUAACAUUCACAAAUCUCCUAUAUUUCCAUAUUGAAUCUCUCAGUCUGGAUCGGUUUCUAUGAUUUAUCCAUUGGCUUCAUUGGCUGCCUAUAACUUAUAUAUCAUGUUGCAAUCUUUGUGUGUGUUGUGUUGGGGAGAGCUUAUAGCCGGCCGCUCCU
This is a long non-coding RNA of Arabidopsis thaliana (thale cress), 352 nucleotides long. RefSeq annotates it as other RNA. NCBI's taxonomy places the organism in Eukaryota, Viridiplantae, Streptophyta, Magnoliopsida, Brassicales, Brassicaceae. The transcript is spliced from 2 exons. The record is from RefSeq.